Molecule: ribosomal RNA, 400 nt
Filed under: uncultured bacterium
Lineage: Bacteria
Description: bacterial SSU rRNA
Rfam family: Bacterial small subunit ribosomal RNA
Source: RNAcentral
UGGGGAAUAUUGGACAAUGGGCGCAAGCCUGAUCCAGCAAUGCCGCGUGUGUGAAGAAGGCCUGCGGGUUGUAAAGCACUUUAAGCAGGAAAGAAGGGGCGGAGGCUAAUAUCCUUUGUCAUUGACGUUACCUGCAGAAUAAGCACCGGCUAACUCCGUGCCAGCAGCCGCGGUAAUACGGAGGGUGCGAGCGUUAAUCGGAAUUACUGGGCGUAAAGCGCGCGUAGGCGGUCGACUCAGUCCGCUGUGAAAGCCCUGGGCUCAACCUGGGAACUGCAGUGGAUACUGGUGGACUAGAGUGUGGUAGAGGGUAGUGGAAUUUCCGGUGUAGCAGUGAAAUGCGUAGAGAUCGGAAGGAACACCAGUGGCGAAGGCGACUAUCUGGACCAACACUGACGCU